GGCAGAAUGUUGGGUUUUUAUCGAGCUUUUAUGAUGCAGAAGUUGUCAAUGUUGCUGUUUUUUGUUCUUUUUUACAGUAUAACGAGUUCUGCAGAUCUGAACUCCGACCGGGAUGCUUUACUGGCGUUACGAGCCGCUGUGGGUGGUCGGACUAUGUUAUGGAAUGCUUCUAACACAACCCCAUGUAAUUGGGCUGGUGUUUUAUGUGAGGAUAACCGUGUUACUGUUCUACGGUUACCGGCGGCGUCACUUACCGGUGAGAUUCCGGUG
Molecule: unclassified non-coding RNA, 270 nt
Filed under: Hevea brasiliensis (rubber tree)
Lineage: Eukaryota; Viridiplantae; Streptophyta; Magnoliopsida; Malpighiales; Euphorbiaceae
Source: RNAcentral